AAGUCGUAACAAGGUUUCCGUAGGUGAACCUGCAGAAGGAUCAUUACAUUCAGUAGAUUUCUACUGCUGAGAAGGAGCGGAAAGUGAGCCCAGUUGCCUUGGUAGCUGGCAAACAAGUACGCUCUUUGUCUGUACCCUUGUCUUUUUGCGUACCCAUGUUUCCUCGGCAGGCUUGCCUGCCGGCUGGACAAUUUAAAAACCUUUUUAAUUUUCAAUCAGCGUCUGAAUAAUUAUAAUAAUUACAA
RNAcentral lists this unclassified non-coding RNA (245 nucleotides) under plant metagenome. RNAcentral describes it as "partial contains small subunit ribosomal RNA and internal transcribed spacer 1". The stretch from base 1 to 46 matches the Rfam family "Eukaryotic small subunit ribosomal RNA", at positions 1786 to 1831 of the family's 1831-position model. The record is from RNAcentral.